Molecule: ribosomal RNA, 240 nt
Filed under: Exiguobacterium aurantiacum
Lineage: Bacteria; Bacillati; Bacillota; Bacilli; Caryophanales
Description: partial 16S ribosomal RNA
Rfam family: Bacterial small subunit ribosomal RNA
Source: RNAcentral
AUGACGUCAAAUCAUCAUGCCCCUUAUGAGUUGGGCUACACACGUGGUACAAUGGACGGUACAAAAGGCAGCGAAGCCGCGAAGUGGAGCCAAUGCCAGAAAGCCGUUCCCAGUUUGGACUGCAGGUUGCAACUCGCCUGCAUUAAGUCGGAAUCGCUAGUAAUCGCAGGUCAGCAUACUGCGGUGAAUACGUUCCCGGGUCUUGUACACACCGCCCGUCACACCACGAGAGUUUGUAAC